CAUCAUUCUUAUCUUGGUAAAACCAAAACCCUAUCUUCCACCUUCACCCUCCCUCUCAAACUCAACCGCCUCCACCCAAAACCCCUCAUAUUCUCUUCAUUCCCAAAAAUCUCCGCCGCAGCAUAACCGGAUCGAGAGACAGCGAGAGAUGAGUGAGGAUCGAGAGAGAAGAGGAUUAUGGUUUGUUAUUGUUUCACCGAGAGAGAAGAGGAUUAUGGUUUGUUGUUGUUUCAUCGUGAGAGAUACAAAGUGUGGUUGAGAGAGAGGCGUGUAGCAGGGAAAGAGAAGGAGAUUGGGGGUUAGGUCAAGAUGUUACGCUUUGUUGGUAGCUAAACCAUGUGCUUGUAUAUUGAGUCUGAGAUUGAGAAAGCUUCAGCCGUUUCAGCCUCUUCGCCGCGCCGUAUCGCUCAAAAUCUCUAGAAAUUGGUUUCAGAACAUGAUUGUCCCCAUUUACUGUUCUAUGGUCCAUCAGGUUCUGGCAAGAAAAGCCUAAUCAUGACUCUUCUCCGUCAAAUGUUUGGACCCGGUGCUGAAAAGGUGAAGGUGGAAAAUAGAGCAUGGAAAGUGGAUGAGUAAAUGCCGAUGAUGUUCGAGUCUCUGUGGCAGGAGCCCUUUUUUCUGUAGUGCCAUGGACACAGUGUGAACAAGUUAUUCAAAUAGCUUUACAGAUGUUAGAUGAAGGAUGAAGGAUGAAGGAUGAAGGAUGAAGAAAUAGAUUCACUAAUUUUAACAGAGUCAUGAUGGACAUUGGCCAGGAGAUUAUGGAGGUCCCAUGUUUCUUAUGCCUGGAUUGGUUAUUACUUUGUCUGUCACCGGGGCUUUGAAUGCAGUCUUAACCGACGAGCAUAGAAAGGAAAUGCGCCGUUACCUCUAUAAUCAUUAGGUAACAACUUCACUCUAUCUUUCACGCUAAUCAGUGGGUUUUUUUUCCAUAAGUUCUUGUAAUUAAUUAGUUAGAUGUAACUGCAGAACAAGGAUAGUGGGUGGGGUUUGCAUAUUGAAGGUCCAAGCACAAUGUUUGGCUCUGUCUUGUGUUACGUUACUCUAAGGUUGCGAGGGGGGGACUGAAUGAUGGAGAUGGGGAUAUGGAGAAGGGACGUGACUGGAUUCUUGAGCAUGUGGGGGAAAAUGUGGCUAUCAGACAAAUCUUACUCCACAUUCCUCUUAGUGAUUUGUUUCUUCCUGAAUAUCGAUGUUCAUUGAUUUCUUGACUAUAUUUUUGGAUUUACCUAUAACCUGAAAAAGUUGUGGGAAUUAUACUGACUGUUUCAUUUCUUGUUUAAAGGUUGGUUAUUUUUUUAGUCUAUAACACAUGACAAUGCCAUCUUUUGACAGUAGGUAUUUUAUAAAUGCAGAUUGUUCUCCAAAGGAAUAAACCUUCACUUGAGCAAAUAAGUAAAAGAGUGAAGUAAAUUAUAUCAAAUGGGAUCCUACUGGUUCACUACUGGCCUCGUGUUCAGACGAUAAAUAGUGUUGCGAAUACAAUGAACAAUAUUGUUGAUAUUUUGAAUUGUAUAUGUUGAUAUUUUGAAUUGUAUAUUUCAGGGUUGUAAUUAGAAUGCAAUAGAUACUCUAUAUAAACAUAUCAAAUUUAUAAUGGGUCACAUACUAGUACAUUAUAAUUGUGAUUAUAU
Vicia villosa (hairy vetch) is the source of this 1634-nucleotide long non-coding RNA. RefSeq lists it as uncharacterized. NCBI's taxonomy places the organism in Eukaryota, Viridiplantae, Streptophyta, Magnoliopsida, Fabales, Fabaceae. The transcript has 7 exons. The record is from RefSeq and is a predicted model, not a curated record.